UGGGGAAUAUUGCACAAUGGGCGAAAGCCUGAUGCAGCAACGCCGCGUGAGUGAUGAAGGUCUUCGGAUUGUAAAGCUCUGUCUUUUGGGACGAUAAUGACGGUACCAAAGGAGGAAGCCACGGCUAACUACGUGCCAGCAGCCGCGGUAAUACGUAGGUGGCGAGCGUUGUCCGGAUUUACUGGGCGUAAGGGUGCGUAGGCGGAUGUUUAAGUGAGAUGUGAAA
This 226-nucleotide ribosomal RNA is filed under the name uncultured bacterium. Its description in RNAcentral is "partial 16S ribosomal RNA". It matches the Rfam family "Bacterial small subunit ribosomal RNA", at positions 355 to 599 of the family's 1533-position model. The record is from RNAcentral.